This 254-nucleotide ribosomal RNA is filed under the name uncultured prokaryote. Its description in RNAcentral is "partial 16S ribosomal RNA". It matches the Rfam family "Bacterial small subunit ribosomal RNA", at positions 525 to 777 of the family's 1533-position model. The record is from RNAcentral.
ACGGAGGGUGCAAGCGUUAUCCGGAAUCACUGGGUUUAAAGGGUGCGUAGGCGGUCUAAUAAGUCAGUCGUGAAAUCGCUGGGCUCAACCCAUGCAAUUGCGAUUGAUACUGCUAGACUUGAAUGGGGUUGAGGCUGGCGGAAUGCGACAUGUAGCGGUGAAAUGCUUAGAUAUGUCGCAGAACACCGAUUGCGAAGGCAGCCAGCUGGGCCUUUAUUGACGCUGAGGCACGAAAGCGUGGGGAGCAAACAGGA